CCUACGGGAGGCAGCAGUGGGGAAUAUUGCGCAAUGGGGGAAACCCUGACGCAGCAACGCCGCGUGGAGGAAGAAGGUCUUCGGAUUGUAAGCUCCUGUCUUCUGGGACGAUAAUGACGGUACCAGAGGAGGAAGCCACGGCUAACUACGUGCCAGCAGCCGCGGUAAU
Molecule: ribosomal RNA, 169 nt
Filed under: uncultured Clostridium sp.
Lineage: Bacteria; Bacillati; Bacillota; Clostridia; Eubacteriales; Clostridiaceae
Description: partial 16S ribosomal RNA
Rfam family: Bacterial small subunit ribosomal RNA
Source: RNAcentral